Molecule: ribosomal RNA, 477 nt
Filed under: Jafnea semitosta
Lineage: Eukaryota; Fungi; Ascomycota; Pezizomycetes; Pezizales; Pyronemataceae
Description: partial large subunit ribosomal RNA
Rfam family: Eukaryotic large subunit ribosomal RNA
Source: RNAcentral
GGCGGCCCGAGUUGUAAUUUGGAGGCGCAUUUUCGGAGCGGGCGCCGUCCCAAGUUCCUUGGAACAGGACGUCGCAGAGGGUGAGAAUCCCGUGUCUGGAUGGCCGCGCCGCUCCAUGUGAGGUGUGUCCGACGAGUCGAGUUGUUUGGGAAUGCAGCUCAAAGUGGGUGGUAAAUUUCAUCUAAAGCUAAAUAUUGGCGAGAGACCGAUAGCGCACAAGUAGAGUGAUCGAAAGAUGAAAAGCACUUUGAAAAGAGAGUUAAAAAGUACGUGAAAUUGUUGAAAGGGAAGCGCUUGAGACCAGACUCGGCCGCCGGCGAUCAUCGGUGCUUCUGCGCCGUGCGCUCGUCGGUGGACGGGCCAGCAUCGGUUCUGGCGGCGGGAAAAAGGUCCGGGCAAUGUGGCUCCUCUCGGGGAGUGUUUAUAGGCCCGGGCGUCAUGCCGCCAGCCGGGACCGAGGACCGCGCUUCGGCUAGG